UCUUUAGUUUUUAAUUUAAGAUCAGGCCUGCCCAUUGAUUUGAAAAAUUAAAAGGCUGCGGUAUUUUAACUGUACGAAGGUAGCAUAAUCACUUGUCUUUUAAUUGGAGGCUAGAAUGAAUGGUUUAAUGAGAAAUAAUCUUUCUUUUUUUAAUUUAUUUGAAUUUAAUUUUUUAGUUAAAAAGCUAAAAUUAUUUUAUAGGACGAGAAGACCCUAUAGAAGUUUACUACAUUAAUAAUUUAAAGGUUUAUGUUUUUGAAUUUUUUUUUUAAAUUAUGUAGUUUUGUUGGGGUGACAUUAAAAUUGAUUAAACUUUUAAUUUUUUUUUCAUUUAUAUAUGUUUUUUUUGAUCCUUUAUUUAUUGAUUAAAAGAUUAACUUACCUUAGGGAUAACAGCGUAAUUUUUUCGGAGAGUCCAUAUU
RNAcentral lists this ribosomal RNA (422 nucleotides) under Neogerris visendus. RNAcentral's name for it is "partial 16S large subunit ribosomal RNA". Lineage: Eukaryota; Metazoa; Arthropoda; Insecta; Hemiptera; Gerridae. The record is from RNAcentral.